UGGGGGGACAGAUGGAGAGGACA
RNAcentral lists this microRNA (23 nucleotides) under Homo sapiens (human). Its description in RNAcentral is "hsa-miR-6887-5p". The record is from miRBase by way of RNAcentral. Lineage: Eukaryota; Metazoa; Chordata; Mammalia; Primates; Hominidae.